UGGGGAAUAUUGCACAAUGGGGGAAACCCUGAUGCAGCGACGCCGCGUGAGCGAAGAAGGCUUUCGAGUCGUAAAGCUCUGUCCUAUGAGAAGAUAAUGACGGUAUCAUAGGAGGAAGCCCUGGCUAAAUACGUGCCAGCAGCCGCGGUAAUACGUAUGGGGCGAGCGUUGUCCGGAAUUAUUGGGCGUAAAGGGUACGUAGGCGGUUUUUUAAGUCAGGUGUCAAAGCGUGGAGCUUAACUCCAUUAAGCACUUGAAACUGAAAGACUUGAGUGAAGGAGAGGAAAGUGGAAUUCCUAGUGUAGCGGUGAAAUGCGUAGAUAUUCGGAGGAACACCAGUGGCGAAGGCGGCUCACUGGACCAUUACUGACGCUGAGGUGCGAAAGCGUGGGGAGCAAACAGG
Molecule: ribosomal RNA, 403 nt
Filed under: Verrucomicrobiota bacterium
Lineage: Bacteria; Pseudomonadati; Verrucomicrobiota
Description: Verrucomicrobia bacterium partial 16S ribosomal RNA
Rfam family: Bacterial small subunit ribosomal RNA
Source: RNAcentral